UACAGAGGGUGCGAGCGUUGUUCGGAAUUAUUGGGCGUAAAGGGCGCGUAGGCGGUGCGGUAAGUCACCUGUGAAACCUCUAGGCUUAACCUAGAGCCUGCAGGCGAAACUGCCGUGCUGGAGGGUGGGAGAGGUGCGUGGAAUUCCUGGUGUAGCGGUGAAAUGCGCAGAUAUCAGGAGGAACACCAAUGGCGAAGGCAGCUCGCUGGGACGGUACUGACGCUGAGACGCGAAAGCGUGGGGAGCAAACAG
Molecule: ribosomal RNA, 252 nt
Filed under: uncultured bacterium
Lineage: Bacteria
Description: partial 16S ribosomal RNA
Rfam family: Bacterial small subunit ribosomal RNA
Source: RNAcentral